CCUCAAUUCUUUCUUUUCCCAAUUCUUGUCUUUCUUUCCCCAACUUCUUCUUUCCUUCCCCAAUAUUCACCUUUCUUUCCCCAUUCUCUUCGUCCUUCCCUAAAAUUCUUCAUUCUAUCCCAAUUCUUCUCUUUCUUUCCCCAAUUCUUGUCUUCUUUUCCCCAAUUCCCACCUUUCUUUCCCCAAUUCUUCUUCCCUUCCCAUCUCCUCUUUCAUUUCCCCAAAUUUCUGCUUCUUUCCCCAUUUUUUCCCCUUCUUUCCCCAAUUCUCCAUUCCCCAAUUCUUUCUUUCCCCAAUUCUCAUCUUCCUUUCCCCAAAUUCUUCUUUCUUUCCCCAAUAUUCACCUUUCUUUCCCCAUUUCUCUUCUUCCUUCCCUAAAAUUCUUCAUUCUAUCCCAGUUCUUCUCUUUCUUUCCCCAAUUCUCGUCUUUCUUUCCCCAAUUCUUGCCUUUCCUUCCCCAAUAUUUGUCUCUCUUUCCCCAACUCUUCUUUCCUUCCCAUCUCCUCUUUCAUUUCCCCAAAUUUCUGCCUCUUUCCCCAAUUUUUUCCUCUUUUUCCCCAAUUCUUCUUCCCUCCAUUCUUUCUUUUCCCAAUUCUUGUCUUUCUUUCCCCAACUUCUUCUUUCUUUCCCCAAAUUCUUCUUUCUUUCCCCAUUUCUCUUCUUCCUUCCCUAAAAUUCUUCAUUCUAUCCCAAUUCUCAGCUUUCUAUCCCCAAUUCCCACCAUUCUUUCCCCAAUUCUUGUCUUCUUUUCCCCAAUUCCCACCUUUCUUUCCCCAAUUCUUCUUCCCUUCCCAUCUCCUCUUUCAUUACCCCAAAUUUCUGCCUCUUUCCCCAUUUUUUUCCUCUUCUUUCCCCAAUUCUUCUUCCCUCAAUUCUUUCUUUCCCCAAUUCUUGUCUUUCUUUCCCCAACUUCUUCUUUCUUUCCCCAUUUCUCCUCUUCCUUCCCUAAAAUUCUUCAUUCUAUCCCAAUUCUCAUCUUUCUAUCCCCAAUUCCCACCAUUCUUUCCCCAAUUCUUGUCUUUCUUUCCCCAAUUCCCACCUUUCUUUCCCCAACUCUUCUUCCCUUCCCAUCUCCUCUUUCAUUUCCCCAAAUUUCUGCUUCUUUCCCCAUUUUUUCCCCUUCUUUCCCCAAUUCUCCAUUCCCCAAUUCUUUCUUUUUUCCCAAUUCUCAUCUUCCUUUCCCCAAAUUCUUCUUUCUUUCCCCAAUCCCCACCAUUUUCCCCCAAUUCCUGCCCUAUUUUGGGGACAAACUCGGGAAAACGAAGAUCCGGGCGGAGGGAAAACAAAAAAACCGAAGAGAACGAGAGAAACAAUUAACAUUAAUUACUGAGAUAAUUAAAAAAAUGGUGAAUAAUGGCCCCAAAAAAACCCGAAAAACCAAUUAGCAGAGGAUGGUUUCGAUCCAUCGACCUCUGGGUUAUGGGCCCAGCACGCUUCCGCUGCGCCACUCUGCUGCUGCGUGUUAAUUAAUUACCUUCUCUAAUUAAUCACACGUUGAAUGUUUGCUAUGGGAACAGCGGGAGACAAAAAAAAAAUCAAGCUAAAAAACAAAAAAAACCCGGAAAGCUGAGGCGCGCUCGUAAAAACCUUCGCCUUACGAGGUCAUUAAGAUGAAUGAGGGCAAAUUAAUGACGGGAUUAAUUAACGCAAAACAGAGGCACCACCUGGAGAUGCCGGGGAUUGAACCCGGGACCUCAUACAUGCGAAGCAUGCGCUCUACCACUGAGCUACAUCCCCUGCGCCCACCCCCUGCCUUCCGCCG
This 1762-nucleotide transfer RNA is filed under the name Phasianus colchicus (ring-necked pheasant). Its description in RNAcentral is "lncRNA (ENSPCLG00000013662.1)". The record is from RNAcentral. Lineage: Eukaryota; Metazoa; Chordata; Aves; Galliformes; Phasianidae.